Molecule: RNA transcript, 3221 nt
Organism: Mytilus californianus (California mussel)
Lineage: Eukaryota; Metazoa; Mollusca; Bivalvia; Mytilida; Mytilidae
Exons: 7
Source: RefSeq, a predicted model, not a curated record
UACAACUGGUGUCUUUGCUUACAUUCUCUUUACAAUUUGAUGGAUGUCGAUUCAUCAAAGUGCACGUACAAAUGUCGAGGUUCAAAUGAUGUUGUAUGUGGAGAAAGAUCUCAUUAUACAGUAUAUAAGCACAUUACUGGAAAAUUCAAACCCAAAGGUGAUGUCGAUUCAAAACUUGCCUGUUCUGUUGUUAUGCCUCGAAAUAACAAAUUUGUACUGAAAGCUGUUGACUGCUCUUUAAAAUACUGGACAACAUGUGUAAUAUCUAGAGUUACUAGACAAAUGGAAUUCACAGACACUUAUCAGUCGGCAAGUAGUAGAUGUUCCUUGUUAAAUGGGACAAUACUUAGCACCACCGACAAUCUUGAUAAACUGGAGGAUGGAAGAGAGUACUGGUCUAAUGUCUUUAGAUCCAAGUUUCUGAAAUGGACAACUAAUGAAUCAUUCGAUAAAAUCUGCUGUAGGUUUAUAUGUAAAUAUGUGCAAAACAAUUGUUGCAUUCAAUUCGAAUUGUUCGUACCACUCUAGCCUCUGGUAGUGAUUAUGUGAACGAUUAUGGUUUUCAUUAAUCAUCUGAAGUAGAUGGAUUGUUAAAUGUUGAUUGUGUAUAUUUAACAGUGGCAUACAGGGAGGUUAAGUAUAUUCCAUUGCCUUGUAAAUACAAGUACACGGCCAUCUGCAAACCCCAACAACCAGGAGAUAAAGCCGUCAUUAGACAGUGUCUAACUAACAAUGGUACCACCACAAUUACAAGAGAUCAAUCAGAACCAGAACACAGUAAUAAAUCAUCAAGCAAAGCAGAUCCCACUCCAACAACUCAAAGCACCGAAACAGUGUUUUUAACAUCAUCGCUGGCGACCAUGUCAACACAUUUCGUACCGAUGACUUCAGACUAUACAAAUCCUGUCACCCAAUCUUCCCAAAAGUCCGGGUCAACAAAUUUUGUUUCAACGAAUUCAGAUUAUAUCGACUCUUUCAAUCCAUCUAUCUCAAGUAAACACUCGUCUGUAUGGUCUAGAUCGACUGCUCUUUUUGUUUCCUCGUCGCAAACAAGCAUAAGUGAUAAAACUGUCGGUAUACAUAUGGAAUUAACUACCUUAGUUCCACAAAUGGAUAACGACAACAGGACAGUGGCAAAUGAAACUACAAAUGAUGGUUUUAUUUAUAGUGUCAUUUUUUCAUUAGUUCCAGCUUCUGUUGCAUUGGCCGUUCUAAUAAUAAUGGCAGUACUUAUAACUGUAGUAAGAAGACGAAGAAGGGAGAAAGCUCAUCCAGAAAGCAAUGGACUUCAAAUCGAGCUUGGUGCACUACAACCGAUUAUUGAAUAUGAAAAGAAGUCAUACGAAAACCAAAGGAAUUAUUGGAAGACACAAGAUAGAGGCAAUCCGGAUUGCCAAAUUUAUGAUGAAGCUAACGACCAAUAUCAACAUCUUGAUUUUAAUGUACAAAAUAAAGAGCCAACAUGUUUCGAAGCAGAAUAUGGUUAUGCUAUGGCAACAACGUCGUUUUUGAAGCCAGACCAAAAGAAUCCAACCACCAACAGUGCAUUAAAAAUCCCUAUGACAAAACGUGCAAAAAUGCUAAGAACAUCAUUACAUUUUCUCCAAGGCCCGUUUACAAAGCAGAGGUCUGAAAAAGAAAAUGUGGCAUAUUGUGACACUGCAAUAGUUCACACCAAAUUCCUGUAUGACACACCACACCAAUCUAUUAAGCAUGUCAAUAAACAUUAGUACAUUGUAUUCAGUCUCAGUGAUUACAAAAGCAUGCGUGUGCCAUCGAAAGCAAUGUUAUUUUGAAUCAGGAGCUAUUUUGAAAUACAAAUUUUAUUCUUUUUAAAAAAGGAUCUGUUUACCGUUCCGGAGCACCUGAUAUCACUCUCAUAGCGGAGUUUGCUUUGCUCAGUUCUUAGUGUUCUAUGUAGUUAUGGACUGCUGUUUGUCUUUUUGUCGCCAUCGAUUAUGCCAUAGUAAUUUCUGUAUUUUUAAGACUUGUAAUGUUUGUAUAGUUCCUUUGGUGUUUUUUUAUCUGUUUUAUUUAAAGACUUUCAUAUUAUACCUUAUCUACAUUUGUUUCAAUUUAAUGCAUUGUACAUGUUCCAUAAUGUUCAAUAGCGGAUGAUAAAGAUUAAGUCUGACAUUAAUUAAAAAAAUAAUAUUCAGUACGUUUGGUAUUAUAAAGGUUUAAAGGAACAUUGGAACGUUUUAAAUGUUUUCAUCAAUAUUGUGCUUGCUUGCAUGAAAAGGAUUUUAGAGGCCAACUUUUACAUUAUCAAAAUUGAUCAAGAUACUUGUAUGAGUGUUCUGAAGCUUUGAAAUUCAUUUUAAUGAUAAUGAAUUAACAUUCUCCUUUACUCUGUGUGUGUGUGUGUUUUUUUAUUUAUUUAUUUUUUUUUGCGAAUUUUGAAUUUUAAUUGGCGCAUGCAUUAUUUAUUUUCCUAAUUUUAUGUUCUUCUUAUUAUGUUGAAUAUUUGACCAUUUUGCAGAACAUAUAUAUUUUUUAGAUACACCUAAAAUGUACAUAAUAAACAACCUUGAAGUAUGGCAUUAAUUAUUGUAUAUAUUGUACUUACCAAUCUAAUAAAAAAAUAAAUGCUUUAAUUUUAAAAAGAUACAUGAUUUAAGUAAUAUGUUGUACAACUCAAAUAGAUAUGAACACAUCUGUUACAAAGGUUUAUAAAUAACGCAAGAAAUCUUACAAAUUUCGUUGAUAUCUGUAUCCAGUAAAUGUUAAAACUACACCUGUGAAGUUCUUAUCCUUUAGCUUCAGACGGAGGCUCUUACAACCUUUUAUAAGUUUAUAAAAUUUUCGGACAAAGUUUAUGCUUAUAGCAGAAUUAAAUAUUUCUGAAGUGUGAAAAAUCCUUGAAGGUUUUUCGAAUAAACAAAUUUCAUUGAAGAUCCGUUUGUCUCCUUCUACGGGAAUCACACCGUGCUUGUUCAAACGACCUGUAUCGGUUCUGUUUCACCUGAAAGAUACGAUCCGUACACAGCUAUUAACUUACAGAUAAAGAGCGUGCCAGGAAGUUAGUAUGUUAUUCAUUUUCUCCCAAUUGAUUUGGUUUAAUAAAUUGGGGUUCCGUGUUACAUUGUAAAUCUAAAUAGGCGGUGUUUGUGCUUCAAUGUUAUAUUUUGAGUGUUUUUAAUUUAGAAUUUUCGUGAUCACAAAUAUUAUAUGUAUGUAUGUUUGUAUGUAUGAAUAAUUAUUGAAAAUAAAUUGUUUUA